GGGGAUGAUCGGUUUCGACUUGGGACGGUAGUCUCAGAAGAAGCGGGCCGAGGAUCCAGGGUUAUCUCGUAAACGAUCUCUGGAAACCAAUAAGUGCCAACAAUACGCGCACUGACUUCGCUCUCGCUGCCUGAUCAGCGAUCGAAGGGUCAGCCCGGGGGUGUCUCCGCUCCGGUAGCUGGCCUCAUUUAGGAGGCUUGCUCUAUCGACUUUGUCCGAGGGUUGAUAGGGGACUUUUAUCAGACUGGGCUUGUCUACGACUCGUCGGCGUGAGCGUAGGAGCCAAGUAGAACGUAUAGCCGAAUGCGCCCGGAGAAUGUCUGAGUCGCCUCGUAAGGACGCGGGUUCAAUUCCCGCCAUCUCCAC
This 366-nucleotide transfer-messenger RNA is filed under the name fish gut metagenome. It matches the Rfam family "transfer-messenger RNA". Rfam says of the family: Bacterial tmRNA, also known as 10Sa RNA or SsrA, is named for its dual tRNA and mRNA-like properties. Its role is to liberate the mRNA from a stalled ribosome. The record is from RNAcentral.